Molecule: long non-coding RNA, 2944 nt
Organism: Manis pentadactyla (Chinese pangolin)
Lineage: Eukaryota; Metazoa; Chordata; Mammalia; Pholidota; Manidae
Exons: 3
Source: RefSeq, a predicted model, not a curated record
CGCCGGUGCUUCCCUGUUGCUGGGGGGGCAGGACCCUCCCAGCUCGCCCUCGGGUGUCGAGAGCCUGGCGCUUGCUGGUGGAGUGAGGGUCUUGACCUGCUGCUUGAGCCACAGCACGUGCAUUGUUCUACCAGUUAGGACGUGAAGUUCUAAGCAACCCAGUUCCCCAUAAUAAUCAAGUGUUCUCUAGUAUUCAUGUGGUGGCAGAAGGAGCCAAAAUGGCCAGGUCACAGUCUCAACUUCUAGUUCAGUGGAGCCAUUGUUUCAUCUCCUACGGGAAGCAUUAAUCCCUUGGGACACAAGACCUUCAUAAAUCAUCACAUAAAUCCUCAGCCCACUGUGGAGGGACCGCCAUUCCUGCUUUAUUACACAAAUAGUGACUAAGCAGAUCAGCUGCCUGAAGCUCUGCCCACUGGACGAUUUCCCACUCUCACUGCCCUUUAGGAGCUGUAGUGAUGCAGCAGUCCACUUCUGACUGGUGUCAGCAUAUUGCCUCAGGUUUUUUGGUUUAAGUUUCUUUUUUUCCUCUCAGUCAACUGCUCAUGGGGUCUUUGUUUAGUUAGUUCACUGUGGUCUUUGUUAGGUUAAAGAAGAGGUGAAAUGUAGUCUGAGUAGGUGCCAUGGAAAUAAUGGAGCGCUUACUCAUGUAGCUCUACUUGUGCUUUCAGGACUUGCUUGAGCCUAAUCUUGUAAGAAUUACUUCCAUUUACAGUGCUGCUUUAUAGCCUCUACUUAAUAACUUGGAAGGUCAGACAACAAUUCAUGUCUUUUAAAAUAAUCAAUUUCUGAAAGGAGCCAGUAGGAAGCCAGGGGCUAUUUCUCAAAAAGAGACUAAUUAUUUGCAGAAGUAAGCAUGGCUACUGGAUCUGUGCAGUGGUUCUUUAUCAAGACUUACCAGAAGUUCCAUACAACCUCUCUAUUUGCCUCCGAUACUUGGAGGCACUGCAUCUACUGGGCCAUUAGGUAGAGUUGCAAAAUAGUAUGUGACUACUGCAUAGUUCUUUCUAGUUCUAGAUCCACCCAAAGCCUUAUAGGUUACUUAGUAGGUGGGUUGGAGCAGCAAAUUCACUUAUUUUACAUGUUGCUUCCAAAAUACACAGAGAAUACACCAGAUAUAGUUCAAAUACAGUGCCUUUUUCUUGGUGAUAAGGGUCCAGCAACAUGUCUUCAUGGUUGAAGGAAACAUCUCAAUAUGUCUAGAGCACUGGGCCUCCAGACACUUCUUAAAAGUGGGGAAUAUUCAUGGAGAUACACCACAUACCUUCUGGUAGCAUGUAUUUUAUCAAGUUAUCUAGGAUGUUUGCCACGUCCUGUUCACCAGGUCCAAUCAGCAUGAACUUACCAAUAUGGGGGACAGUGGUAGAUAAUGUCAAAGAAGAUAGGCCUGUGAAUUCUCUUGUGCACUAGAUUAAGACAGAGAUAGAUCAUAUAUCCUUAAAUUACAACAGAGAAGGUAUGGUGUUCUCUCUACCAUGUGAAAAUGAACUGUUUCUGGUGGUCUUUGCUAAUUAGUACAUAGAAAUAGAAAAAAGGGGCUUUUAAUAACUCUAGUAACUUCAAACCAUGUCUCAAGAGCUCUGUGAAUUUCUUUCUGUAAUAAGAUCACAUCUGAAAUAGAAGCUGCAUUGGAAUCACCACCUAAUAUUGUCUACAGGAAACCAUUGUAUUUUCUGUCCUCCAUAGAAACUAAAUAGGUGAGUUAAAUGAAGCUUCAACAGGAAUCACUCUUUCUACACUCUGCUAGUCUUGGGUGGAUGCAGUGGCAUUUGCAGUUACCUCAGGUUUGCAGUAAUACUUCUGAUUUAUAAUUUGGAAGGGAUGGCCUGUUCCAGGGUUUCCCGAACCCUUCCUACCACAAUAGCCUUCUCAGUGAUCCAAGGCAGGAAACCUGCAAGCGGCAGAGCGUGUCUAUGCCAACUGCAAAUUCAGGAAUCAGCAGAUGGUUGAUUCUUUGACUGAAUGGACCUACAGUGACACAGACUGGGAUAAAAUUGUCAUUUAUCACCUGACCACUGGAAACUUUCCCUCUAACUGAUGAAGCACUAUGACAUUUUGGAUUCGCAGAUACUAAUUUCAUCUCAGAGUCACUUUUCAGUGCUUAUCUUCCCCCAGUACCUUGUUUCCAUGGUAAAAUGGCUACAGUUUCUAUUUCCUGAAAAUGAGAAGGAAAUUUAGAGUUCAUACUUGAGGCCCUUUUGCCUGGUCUCCAGGGAUACCUACCUGCUCUUUCGUAUGGCAUUGAGUCUGUGAAUGGGCUUAGGUCUGGGAACUGGUUCAGGGCCUGUGGUGGUGCCACAUGUCCGGUUUCUAUUUAGAAACCGAGAAAUUACGCGUGAGACCAAAUGAGACUUCUGUAGGCUGCCCAUCUGUCUAACUGGCAUCAUCAGCUAGCUGCCUAUAAACAUCUCUAUUCGUUACUUCAUUCUGAUUAUUGCUCCAAAUUUCUGCCUAUUACUGAAUCUGAGAUCAUUUUGUAUUUAGAAAUUAAGUGCUAUUACUUGGCUUCUGCCAUUUACAGAUCCCAUCCCUCCCCAAUAAAAUUAAGGAAUAUGUUUCAAGGUAUAAUAUUUAGCAUCACUUCUGCAAAGAACCAAUGUAGAGCUCUUCAAGGAUACUGGAACUCUCUUACCAAUGUACGUCUUAGUGCUUUAGGGAGAAUGUCCUUCCAGAUUCCUCGAGGCAUGGAGUAGGUUAGGGGAACAACUUAUACAUAAUAAAGGUACUUCAACAUUUCUUUCUCCUUAUUCUUUUGAUACAUUAUUACAGAUGAAGGUUGAUUCUCAGAUUAAAUAAACCAAGUAACCAACCGAGUAAACUCUUGAAACCAUUCCCAGUGGCUUAGGUUAGCACAUUAGAGAAACUCUGAUAAAUACACCCUGCCAAUAAAUUCUGCCUGACAGCGUUAGGUUAGUCCCUCCCCAGUUUAACACCCAUGGAAUCCGUG